This 493-nucleotide ribosomal RNA is filed under the name uncultured organism. RNAcentral's name for it is "SSU rRNA". It matches the Rfam family "Bacterial small subunit ribosomal RNA", at positions 18 to 509 of the family's 1533-position model. The record is from RNAcentral.
CCUGGCUCAGGAUGAACGCUGGCGGCGUGCCUAAUACAUGCAAGUCGAGCGAGAAAUGUCCGAUUGAAACUUCGGUAGAUUUCGGGCAUGGAAAGCGGCGGACGGGUGAGUAACGCGUAGGCAACCUGCCCCUUGCACAGGGAUAGCCACUGGAAACGGUGAUUAAUACCUGAUAAUGCAUUCCUAUCGCCUGUUAGGGAUGCCAAAGAUUUAUUGGCAAGGGAUGGGCCUGCGUCUGAUUAGCUUGUUGGUGGGGUAACGGCUCACCAAGGCGACGAUCAGUAGCCGACCUGAGAGGGUGAUCGGCCACAUUGGAACUGAGACACGGUCCAAACUCCUACGGGAGGCAGCAGUAGGGAAUCUUGCACAAUGGGCGAAAGCCUGAUGCAGCAACGCCGCGUGAGCGAUGAAGGCCCUUGGGUCGUAAAGCUCUGUCCUAUGGGAAGAAACAAAUGACGGUACCAUUGGAGGAAGCCCCGGCUAACUACGUGCC